RNAcentral lists this long non-coding RNA (927 nucleotides) under Mytilus galloprovincialis (Mediterranean mussel). Lineage: Eukaryota; Metazoa; Mollusca; Bivalvia; Mytilida; Mytilidae. The record is from RNAcentral.
AGAAUGGUGUAAAAUUAAACCGGCUGUUAUACAGUCUACUGAUCACCAAAGUGUAUUUUUAAAAUUUAAGCCAGGGUUAUCAGAAAGGGGAAAUGGGUAUUGGAAAAUAAAUAACUCAGUAUUACAAAAUAAAGAUUAUCAAGAAUGUAUAAAAUGUUUAAUUGAUAAAUAUACAUUUAAAAAAGACUCAAUAGAUUGUAGGCUUUUAUGGGAUGGAUUUAAAAUCGAGGUAAGGGAAGUAACUACAACUUACUGUAGAAAUAAAGCGAAGUUAACAAGAGAGCGAAGGCGUAGUUUAGAACAAGAUCUGGAACAAAAGAUGGAACUUAUAGAUGAGAGAAAUAAUGAUGAAAAUCAAAAUUUGGAAAAAGAAAUUAAAGAUAUAGAAAAAGAAUUAAGUAACAUUUAUGACGAAAAGGCAAGAGGGGCACAAAUUAGAUCUAGAGAAAAAUGGGUUGAGUUUGGGGAAAAGAACAAUUCCUACUUCCUCGGUCUAGAAAAGAAGAGGCAAGUGAAAAAAUCAAUAAGCAAACUAAAAGGAGAGGAUGGGGAAUUAAUUACUAAUCAAGAAAAUUUACUCCAUAAAAUAAAAAAUUUCUAUGAAAACUUGUAUAAUGUAAAAUCUGCAAAUAAAAAUUUAACUGAAAAAUAUAUCAAUGACACAAAAUUAGAAAAUCAAGUAGACGAAAAGGAUAAACUGAUAUGCGAUGGAAAAGUUACAGUAGAGGAAUGCACGCAAGGCAUUUAUAAAAUGAAACUAAAUAAAUCACCAGGGCUUGAUGGUCUAACGGUUGAAUUUUAUAGACAAUUUUGGGAUAAACUUAAAUUUUUAGUUGUGGAUGUUCUAAAUACUGGCUACGAUAAACAAAGUUUAUCAUACUCACAACGUACCAGUAUAUUAACUUUAAUAUUUAAAAAAGGAGAUCC